ACAAAACAAUUUAAAACCCAAUCUCUCUCCCCCUCUCUCUCCCCCUGUGUCUCUCUUUCUCUUCUUCUUCUCCCUCCUUCUUUCCCAAGCUUUCGAUCUCCAGACGACAAUCGCCCUCCACCCUGCCUUCCACCGCGAUCUCCCAGCCAUCGUCGCGCAGCACAGCUGUGCCGUCUCCCGCCGAACCGGUUCACCCUUGAGGAACCGCCUCGCCCCUGCUUCGCCCUUGCCAUCAACCGAACCACCUCCAGCCGCCAGUGUCGCCGUCCCGACCGCCGCCCUUGCUUCUUCCUCAGCUGUCCGCCCGCGCCCAGCAUCAGUCCACACCGCGCCGCAGUCCUCCCCGAAAAUCCCAGAUUUUCACCUCCUUUGAGAACACAUGAGACAUUUCUAGCCUUGUCUUAGUGUGGUGCACGACAAAAGCCAAAUCCAAAGGAAUUGGCAAGUAAAACAAAAGCUCGCAAUUACUCCACCCUUUACGGACUCCAGGGAAGUUUCUCUCUUGUUUUACUUCUUUUUACAUUGAGGACAAUGUAUGCAUUAGGUGUGGGGAGAGAGUUAUGCAAAUUUUUGGGCAAAUUUUUUCAUUUUGUGCUACUUUUAUGCCGAAUUUGCUAUUCUUUCGCAUAUUUUUUAGAUUAGUCUGAAGUGAGUCAUCGGUGGUUUGUGUGAUAGGUUUGUCUAGCAUGACUAAUGACAUUUGAUUGGUGAUAUGUUGAGUCAAAUUGACGUUUGAACCUUGUGAGAUUUGAGCCUUUGUUCCAAAAGUUACAUUAGAAAAUAAACAUAAUAUUCAAACUUUUGGAAAUUCUUUCUUGUGAGAAAUCUAGUGCUCAAUUAGAUCACCUAGAACUUGAGUGAUUAUGCAUGUUGAACUUGAAACUAUCGAAUCUUGCGUUUUGAAAAUAAUAAGGGCAUUAGGUAACAUCAUUAAGCCUUUCUUUAUUACCCAACACAAUAUAUUCCCCUAGUUAGCCCAUUUGAGUCUUCUUAGCCUAUUUUUUCUUUUAUAAUAAACUGUCUUUUAGCCUCAUACCCUUCUUUUGAUUAAACUUUCUCCGAUUUGAACCCUAUGUUAAAAAGAAUUACUUUAAGUCUAUGUUGUGAUGCACUUUAUUUCUUCGGCACUAGUUAGAAACGAAAUUUGGGUACGGAUAAGUCAUGGUAUGCAGAAAUAAUUAUAGGCAGUGAAAUUUAUAUAAAGGCAAAAGCCCAAAAAAAAAUAAAAAAGAUCAAAAAAAAUACAAAAAACAAAGAAAAGAAAAAAAAAAAGCAAGCAAAAGAAAAAAAAAAAAUAAUAAAUAAUAAAAUAAUCAUCUUGAUGAAGUAUUUUUAUUUAAUUUCUUUAUUAAAGUUUGGGUAGUGAAUGAAGUAAGGAUUUCAUUGUUUAUGCCGAUUUGUUCUUCAUGUGCUAGCAUCAUGUUCAUUUUUGACAUACCAUAGCCUUUGUAUAUCCUUUUUCCUUCCCCUGACCAUAAGUCCCGCUACAAUCCCUUAUUGAAAGUCCAUUCGAUUCUUUUAGAUUCAAAUAUUCUAAGCAAGGGAGAUUUGAUUUUUACUCAAGCCCAUAGGAUAAUCUUUUGUUGCACUACCCGAGUGUUGAACCAAUUGUAUACUUAUUCCUUCAGAGAGUAUGUGCGUAUACACUUUAUCUUGUGAGGUUGACUUGGCUUGACGUGUUGAAUUUAGGAUUGAAUUGGUUGUGCUGAAUUCUCUUGUCAUAUUGAAUCGCCUGUGAUUUCUUUGGCUUAUUUCGAAUUUAUGCUUGAGGGCAAGCAUGAUCUAGGUGUUGGGAGAUUUGAUAUUUAUAAAUCGCAUACGUUAAAUGUUCAUGUUAUAUGUGAUAUUCGAUUGAUUUUAAUUGGAUUCUGCCUAAUUUCAGUGCGUAUUAUUUACUUUCGACAUGCAGGAGAGAAAAACAAAUUUGGCGUGAUUUGAAAGAAAAAGUGAAGAAAAUUUCAGAUUUGCACCCCCGAGUUAGUUAUGGCCAUGACUAACUCCACCCUCUUGACAUGGAAAUUUAAUUAAAGGGCCAAAAGUCCAACUGCUAAAAUAAAAGUAGGGUAAAAUUAAAAGAAUACACACAGAGGACGGCGAGAAGAAGAUACGAACAGGAGCAUGAGACUGACAUACUCAUAGAUCGCAUAGGAGCAAAUCGACAGAGAAGAUUUCCUCUCCCACUAUGACUUUAUAUUUCUCUAUUGUUCUUUGUUAUUUGAUUAUGGAAUAGAUAUUUUUCUGAGUUGAGGGAUGAUAAUGUUUUGGUUCUUGUCUUUUGGAGAUUCUUGAUUUUCUUUAUAAAAGUUCUUUUUAUUAUCAA
This is a long non-coding RNA of Andrographis paniculata, 2320 nucleotides long. RefSeq lists it as uncharacterized. The record is from RefSeq and is a predicted model, not a curated record. NCBI's taxonomy places the organism in Eukaryota, Viridiplantae, Streptophyta, Magnoliopsida, Lamiales, Acanthaceae. The transcript has 2 exons.